RNAcentral lists this long non-coding RNA (1195 nucleotides) under Salmo trutta (river trout). Its description in RNAcentral is "lncRNA (ENSSTUG00000010426.1)". Lineage: Eukaryota; Metazoa; Chordata; Actinopteri; Salmoniformes; Salmonidae. The record is from RNAcentral.
UGGAGACAGAAACAUAAACCUUUUACCUUGUCAUAAGUAGACAUUAUUGCAAAUUAUUAAAUCCUUCUAUUGGAAGGAUUCUAUCUGCAAUUAUGUCUCGUUAUGGUGCACACCUAUCACCAUCGUUACGUGCACCUGCGCAUCAUAAGACUCACCUGGACUCCAUCACUUCCCUGAUUACCUUCCCUAUAUAUGUCACUCCCUUUGGUUCCUUCCCCAGGCGUCAUUGUUUCUGUUUCAGUUUCAUGUCUGUGUGCUGGUAGUGCUUCUUGUUUUGUAUUAUAGUCUGUUUAUUUUAUUAAAACACUCACUCCCUAAACUUGAUUCCCGACUCUCAGCGCAUAUCGUUACAGAAUGACCUCUCACCUAAGGGAAGCACCAGGGAGUGUUUUUUUUGUGGUGGGAAUGAUGUCGGAGGCACUACAGGCUCUCAUGCCUUAGACAGAUCGCCAGGCUCCCCUGCCUCUGCCGGUUUGUCAGGCUCUCAUGUGUCAGCUGGAUCGCCAGGUUCCCCUGCUACAGCCGGCUCGUCAGGCUUUCAUGCCUUCACCGGAUCACCAGGCUGCUCUGUUUCCACCAGCUCGUCAGGCUCUCAUGCCUCAGCCGGAUCGCCAGGCUCACCUGCCUCAGCCGGUCUGUUAGUUUCCCGCGCCCCAGCCGGCGACAGAUUCCGCGCAUCAGCAGGGGUGACCGGUCUGCUCCUGAUCCCCAGGAUCGUCCCUUUGCUUGGUGUCCUGCGGCUGGAGCCGAACUCGCCGGGGAGUGGGUACCGUCAUCUAUGCUCUCUCCUGCGCUCUAGGUCGCCAUGCUCUCGCGUCUCAGCUGGACUGAACGGUUUCCCGCGCCUCAGCAGAGGUGAUCGGUCCACUCCUGAUCCCUGGGAUCAUCAUUUUUGUCGGCGUCCUGCGGCUAGCGCCGCGCGUCUGGGAGGGGGUUCUGUCACGGGUGCUCCCUCGAACUCUAGGUCACCAGGCUUCUCGUUAUGGCUAACACCUGUCACCAUAGUUACGCGCACCUGCGCAUCGUCAGACUCACCUGGACUCCAUCACUUCCCUGAUUACCUUCCCUAUAUAUGUCACUCCCUUUGGUCCCUUCCCCAGGCAUCAUUGUUUCUGUUUCUAUUUCAUGUCUGUGCAUUGUUCGAGGUUCUUGUUUAGUAUUAUGUUCCCUUCAUUUUAUUAAAUUUUCACUCCCU